Transfer RNA from Thermodesulfobacterium geofontis OPF15, 74 nucleotides. It matches the Rfam family "tRNA". From Rfam's summary of the family: Transfer RNA (tRNA) molecules are approximately 80 nucleotides in length. Their secondary structure includes four short double-helical elements and three loops (D, anti-codon, and T loops). Further hydrogen bonds mediate the characteristic L-shaped molecular structure. tRNAs have two regions of fundamental functional importance: the anti-codon, which is responsible for specific mRNA codon recognition, and the 3' end, to which the tRNAs corresponding amino acid is attached (by aminoacyl-tRNA synthetases). tRNAs cope with the degeneracy of the genetic code in two manners: having more than one tRNA (with a specific anti-codon) for a particular amino acid; and 'wobble' base-pairing, i.e. permitting non-standard base-pairing at the 3rd anti-codon position. The record is from Rfam. Lineage: Bacteria; Pseudomonadati; Thermodesulfobacteriota; Thermodesulfobacteria; Thermodesulfobacteriales; Thermodesulfobacteriaceae.
GGGCCGGUAACUCAGCCAGGCAGAGUACCAGCCUUUUAAGCUGGGAGUCGUAGGUUCGAAUCCUACCCGGCCCA